CCCCAUGGAAGACUGAGGGAGCCGUUGAGAGAUACAGUAAGGGAUGGAUUGAGGGAUCCAUUUAGGGAUGUGUUAAGGGAUCCAAUUAGAGAUACCUUUGGGGAUACCUUGAGGGAUCCAUCAAGGGAUAUGUUGAGGGAUCCAUUAAGGGACACUUUGAGGGACACGUUGAGGUAUCCGUUAAGGGAUAUGUUGAGGGACCCGUUAAGGGAUACAUCGAGUGAUCCAUUAAGGGAUCCGUUGAGGGAUACAUUGCAGGAGAAGCUGAGGCGUCCUGCCCCCGUUAAUUUGCAUUCGUCCGUUGGUCUUUCUCAUACUCUAAGUCGACACACUAACCUUGCACAGAGUAUGGAUCAUCUUGGACGUUCCCAUAGUUUUGAUCGUCCUCCUUCACCUAGGCUAUGGCCAUCACAGACAAUAGCCGGAGUAAAUCCAAGGGCCAUCACAGAUGCCAAUAGAGGAUCGGCUUCUUUUAAAGGUGGCUUAGAACUUGGCAGUGGAACCAAGUCUGCUUUUGUGACAAAUACAACUAUGGAGAUUGUAGUUCCUGAAAAUGUUAUUGGUGCUGUAUAUGGGGAGAAUGGUAGCAAUCUG
Molecule: unclassified non-coding RNA, 594 nt
Filed under: Hevea brasiliensis (rubber tree)
Lineage: Eukaryota; Viridiplantae; Streptophyta; Magnoliopsida; Malpighiales; Euphorbiaceae
Source: RNAcentral